UGCGUAGGCGGUCAUAUUAGUCGGUGUUAAAUCCUGGGGCUCAACCCCAGGCUCGCAUUCGAAACGGUAUGACUAGAAGGAGUGAGAGGUGCAUGGAACUCAAGGUGUAGGGGUGAAAUCCGUUGAUAUCUUGGGGAACACCAAAUGCGAAGGCAAUGCACUGGCACUUUCUUGACGCUGAGGCACGAAAGCGUGGGUAGCGAAC
Molecule: ribosomal RNA, 205 nt
Filed under: uncultured bacterium
Lineage: Bacteria
Description: partial 16S ribosomal RNA
Rfam family: Bacterial small subunit ribosomal RNA
Source: RNAcentral